UAUAUUGUCUCCAGCAAAAGGUGUAGCC
This 28-nucleotide non-coding RNA is filed under the name Mus musculus (house mouse). The record is from RNAcentral. Lineage: Eukaryota; Metazoa; Chordata; Mammalia; Rodentia; Muridae.